RNAcentral lists this ribosomal RNA (493 nucleotides) under uncultured bacterium. RNAcentral describes it as "partial 16S ribosomal RNA". It matches the Rfam family "Bacterial small subunit ribosomal RNA", at positions 30 to 507 of the family's 1533-position model. The record is from RNAcentral.
CGACCGCUGGCGGCGUGCCUAAUACAUGCACGUAGAACGCUGAAGGAGGAGCUUGCUUCUCUGGAUGAGUUGCGAACGGGUGAGUAACGCGUAGGUAACCUGCCUGGUAGCGGGGGAUAACUAUUGGAAACGAUAGCUAAUACCGCAUAAUAGCAGUUGUUGCAUGACAACUGUUUGAAAGGUGCAAUUGCACCACUACCAGAUGGACCUGCGUUGUAUUAGCUAGUUGGUGGGGUAACGGCUCACCAAGGCGACGAUACAUAGCCGACCUGAGAGGGUGAUCGGCCACACUGGGACUGAGACACGGCCCAGACUCCUACGGGAGGCAGCAGUAGGGAAUCUUCGGCAAUGGACGGAAGUCUGACCGAGCAACGCCGCGUGAGUGAAGAAGGUUUUCGGAUCGUAAAGCUCUGUUGUAAGAGAAGAACGAGUGUGAGAGUGGAAAGUUCACACUGUGACGGUAUCUUACCAGAAAGGGACGGCUAACUACGUG